Molecule: long non-coding RNA, 643 nt
Organism: Parus major (Great Tit)
Lineage: Eukaryota; Metazoa; Chordata; Aves; Passeriformes; Paridae
Source: Ensembl
GGCACUGGAUCAACACAUUAUGGUCCUGUUCAGGGAUGGCUGCCCCUGUGGCACAGAGGAGUAUGCAGCAUUUGGAUUUGGGGUUUGGCAGCAGCUGAGCAAGCUGGGUUCAGAUUGUUUCAUUUUUGCUUUUAGAUUCUGGCUACUUGUUCAGUGGAAGCCGACCGGCCUCGCUGUCAUCCCAGUCCAAGGAGUCCCCUGCAUCAGAUCCCUUGUCCCUGCUGUCUGGCAGCGCUGUCCCCUCCCGCAUCCCGUCCCCGGCGCCGUCGGUGGCCGGCUCGGUGGCCUCGGGCUCGGUGGCCUCCAGCUCAGGGUCGCUGCGCUUGCGCCGGCCGCUCAUCAGCCCUGCCCGCCUCAACCUCCAGGGACAGAAGCUGCUGCUGUUCCCGGCACAGAACGAGGCCCUGCUCACCCCGAGCGGCUCCGAGGAGCAAACCCCCUCCGACAGCAACGCCUCUGCCCCCGAGCUGCCCGGCUUGGCCAGGACGACCCUCGCGGAGCGGGGAGUGCCCGGUACGCUGCCAGCGCUGCCCGUUCCCCGCAGCAAACACAGCCCUGCAACUUCCAGGCCACAACAGAUGGGAAACCUUCAGGAGAGGCCCGGCUGGUGAAGUUUCCUGUCUUUUUCUCCUUGCAGAUAUGA